Long non-coding RNA from Oncorhynchus tshawytscha (Chinook salmon), 1364 nucleotides. NCBI's taxonomy places the organism in Eukaryota, Metazoa, Chordata, Actinopteri, Salmoniformes, Salmonidae. The record is from Ensembl.
ACCAGUCAUACAAGGAGAAUGGUCUAAUGCCUCCCAUCAAAAAGAGAGCUGUCCUAAGCAAGCACAGGUUACACCUGAAGCAUGAGGACUUGCAGUGAGUGGUGAACUUUAUCAACAACUACGCAGAGGAAAAUCCAAUAGUAUUACCAGGACGUCACCCACACAAACACAAGCUGCUGCCAUCCCAUGUGAAAAGUGCAGCAGUGUGGCGUCUGUACAAGGAAUCAUUGACAACACUUGAGGUACGUGUAGUCGGGCUGCCUUCCUUCAGGAAUCUGUGGAAAAAAUUGCUGCCCCACAUCUCAAGCACUAAGCCCAGCACAGACCUGUGCUGGCAGUGCCAGAGGAACAACUAUCAGGUCUUCAGAUCUGCCAAUCUGCCAGAAGCUGUUAAGUCAGCCAAGCUGAAGAAGCAAGAGCAGCAAGAGCAGCAUCUCCUGCUCGUUCAGAGUGAGCGGUCUGUCUACCAGAAGACGGUUGCUGACUGCAAGACCACCUGUCAAGACCUGCAGUUACCUCUGGGGGCCCUACUGAACCAGCAAGCAAAGACAUCAGGAUGCAUUACAGCUUUGAUUUUGCUCAACAAUGCACUAGCCUGCAGCCAGGUCCCAUCUACUUCUUUACUCCUCGGAAGUGUGGCUGUUUGGUGUCUGCUGUGAAGGAAUACCACCAAGUCAACUACUUGAUUGAUGAAGGCAUGUUGUCCAGCAAAGUGAAGGACAGCACUCUGACAGGGGUCAACAUCCCACAGCUGGUUGGACUGGAGGAUGGUACGGUGCUGGUGGAAAGCUAUGGCUGGCAACAACACCUGACUCUCUACUUCAGGCCACUGCUACAGAUCAAACAGUACCAGCACUUCACAUGAAUAUCAUUGUCAUUGCAUUCUUUGAUGCUCUGGAGCCUGGUGUUGUUGGCAAGGAGCGUUCGGACUCAGUCAGGACCAGGUUUCAGCAGCUGUGCAACGCUGACAUCCUUCCUCCCAUAGAUGGUCUGCCUGUACAAGCACCACCUGGACUGGACACAGCUAGACAAACAUAUUUUUGAGAAGAUAAGGGAGUUUUGUUACAAAGAGACUAUGGAAGUCACAUGCCCUGCAACAAAGUCAAGGGCAAGACAGAAACAGGCUCUCUGAAUAUAGAUUCCCUUGUUCAUGCAUGGUUCGGACAGACCAGUCAUGUUUUACUUUUACUUCACUACAUUCUGAAUAAAAAUAUGUAUUUUUUACUCCAUACAUUUUCCCUGACACCGAAAGUACUUGCUACAUUUUGACAGGAAAAUUGUUCAAUUCACACACUAAUCAAUAGAACAUCCCUGGCCAUCCCUACUGCAUCUGAUCUGGCAGACUCACUAAACACAAGUCCUUU